AAGUCGUAACAAGGUUUCCGUAGGUGAACCUGCGGAAGGAUCAUUAGCGAAGCAGCAGAUGGUCAGGGCAAGUGCCCUGACACUAACAUCUCUCUACACACUGUGAACGCGGACUCGAUUGAGGGUGCACCGUGAGCGCGUGUGCGCGCGUGGCGCAGGGUAUGUGCAAGUUUUGCUUGUGCGUGUCCGGCUCUGCGUGUAUGCGCGUUUGCGGCACACACUCUAAACACACCGUUGACAAUUGCUUAAUAUUACAUAUACAACUGUAACCAAACACACAACUUUUAACAAUGGAUCUCUAGGCUCCU
This 308-nucleotide unclassified non-coding RNA is filed under the name fungal sp. Its description in RNAcentral is "partial internal transcribed spacer region". The stretch from base 1 to 46 matches the Rfam family "Eukaryotic small subunit ribosomal RNA", at positions 1786 to 1831 of the family's 1831-position model. The record is from RNAcentral. Lineage: Eukaryota; Fungi.